This 566-nucleotide ribosomal RNA is filed under the name uncultured bacterium. Its description in RNAcentral is "partial 16S ribosomal RNA". It matches the Rfam family "Bacterial small subunit ribosomal RNA", at positions 355 to 914 of the family's 1533-position model. The record is from RNAcentral.
UGGGGAAUUUUGGACAAUGGGGGAAACCCUGAUCCAGCCAUCCCGCGUGUGCGAUGAAGGCCUUCGGGUUGUAAAGCACUUUUGGCAGGAAAGAAACGUCGCGGGUUAAUACCCCGCGAAACUGACGGUACCUGCAGAAUAAGCACCGGCUAACUACGUGCCAGCAGCCGCGGUAAUACGUAGGGUGCAAGCGUUAAUCGGAAUUACUGGGCGUAAAGCGUGCGCAGGCGGUUCGGAAAGAAAGAUGUGAAAUCCCAGAGCUUAACUUUGGAACUGCAUUUUUAACUACCGGGCUAGAGUGUGUCAGAGGGAGGUGGAAUUCCGCGUGUAGCAGUGAAAUGCGUAGAUAUGUGGAGGAACACCGAUGGCGAAGGCAGCCUCCUGGGAUAACACUGACGCUCAUGCACGAAAGCGUGGGGAGCAAACAGGAUUAGAUACCCUGGUAGUCCACGCCCUAAACGAUGUCAACUAGCUGUUGGGGCCUUCGGGCCUUGGUAGCGCAGCUAACGCGUGAAGUUGACCGCCUGGGGAGUACGGUCGCAAGAUUAAAACUCAAAUGAAUUGAC